UUUGCUUUGCUGCAGGAGAAACACCGUGCUUUCCAACGAUCGACUCUAGAACUGCCUCGGAAAGUAGUUUGUUUUCUAUCACCACGUUUGCAGCUUCAGGUACGGAUGCAUCUCUAGAGAAGCUAAUCUGUGGCGAAAGCGAGAGAGAAUGAUGUCAAAAAUCCGAUGUAAACUACAGAACUAACCAUCCAAAAGUAGGAUUACUAACCGUUAGUGAUCCUUUGGGAGAUUGUGUGAAAAGAAUGGAGGCGCCGGGUGGGAAAUUUUGAUCUUUGAAAACCUCAAGGAACAUUUCAAUGGCUUUGCCUUCCGCAUCCGUGUAAAUUCCGACUAACUUCCAAAAGGCAAUGCAAUUCUCCGAAACUUUCUCAGAGUAUUGCUGGCCUGUCAGUGGCAGUAUCGUUGUCACUUGAAUGAAUUUCUCAAAUGGACCUACAAAAGGAUAGCAAAGAUCAUAAUCCGCGCUACAAAACCUCAGUCAUAUCUUUAGUAACUGUUUCUUAUGCCUCAAGUAAUCAUCAUAACCAGAACAUAGCACUACAUCUUGAGAGAAUCAUUCAUUCUAAUUGGCUAGUCAGGACUAAAUUACCACCAUAAGCACACAUAAAUUUACAAAUUAGAAUACAACUUGAAAAAUUUACAACAUUCAUCGACCGCGACAGAUGUAUAUCGGCCCCUGAGAGAACGGCGGGCUGUAGGAUUGCCUCAAUUUGGCAUGACUAACGAUCAUUCUAAAACGGCUCCACCUUAAGAUGCAAGGCAUGAGUAACAUCUACACUUUCAACAGCAUCAACGAGAUCACAAAUCAAUUUACCAAAAGAUACAGAAGGCAUCCAUUUGAAGAUUAAUAUGAUUAUAUUUUGAAUCUGACCGUUCAACCGGACUAUGAUAAAUAGAAGGGAAGAUACAUAUGAAACCAACUUAUCUUUAACAAGUCAUCCACUUGUAUGAACCUUUUUUAAUGUGAAAAUGUACUUAUGAAAAGGUACGGAUAAAGGGUCGAACAUAUAUAAGUUAGAUAAAAUUGUUAAAUAAAGAGUCGAACGUAUGUAUUCAUAGGGUCGAACAUCAAUGAAUUUUACUCCAAAAGAAGUCAGAGAAAAAAAAAGUGAAGAGUAAAAAGUUAAUUUAAACUCUAAAUUUGACUUGUUUCAUCUCUAAUACACUGAAAAAAAUUAGUUACGUAUAUGAAUAAUUUUUCCUUCUAUCUGGUAAGUUUAGCUAAAAUUGGGUUCACCAUAGCAUGCAAUUUUAUUUCUUUGCUAAUUAUAACACGACAAGGGAACAAAUUUGCAUUGGUAACUGGAAUUUACUGUCAAAAUUCAAACAGUUGUUAAAACAGCAAAGAAAUCCGUGGUACCUGUAACGAUGUCCCUGAAGAACUCAACGGACUCCGUCAACUCCUUGGCUGUCUUACCCUUCCACUUAACGGCGAGCUGAGGCACUGCGUUAUCCUCCAAGUACACUCCGAUUGCCGUGAACUUCACGAAGUUCCCCUGAAUCUCCAGCCCCCUCACCCCUGCGCAUGUUAGGAAGCAAAGUACCGUCAAUCAAAACUAAAAGCAACAAACAAUCAUAAUUACGGAUAUAAGAGCCGGACGUGCGAAGUUUACAAACCUGCGCCGCCGAGGAACAGAGUGUUGGGGGAGCCCGGAGGUUUGACGGACGGUGGAAACGCAGUCGUUUCGACCUGAAGUCCGGCGAGCGACGGUGGUGGAGCUAUUUGACAAUCUUUCUCAUUUCCAGCUUUGGCAUCAUUAGAUUCAUUACACCCGUUCAACAAUUCGGAUAACCUUCCGGCCAAACUUUGCUUUGCUGCAGGGGAAACACCGUGCUUUCCAACGAUCGACUCUAGAACUGCAUCGGAAAGUAGUUUGUUUUCUAUCACCGUGUUUGCAGCUUCAGGUACGGAUGCAUCUCUAGAGAAGCUAAUCUGUGGCGAAAGCGAGAGGGAAAGAUGUAAAAAAUCUGAUGUAAACUACAGAACUAACCAUCCAAAAGUAGGAUUACUAACCAUUAGUGAUCCUUUGGGAGAUUGCGUGAAAAGAAUGGAGGCGCCGGGUGGGAAGUUUUGAUCUUUGAAGACCUCAAGGAACUUUUCAAUGGCUUUGCCUUCUGCAUCAGUGUAAAUUCCGAUUGAUUUCCAAAAGGCAACGCAAUUCUCCGAAACUUUGUGAGAGUAUUGCUGGCCUGUCAGUGGCAGUAUCGUUGUCACUUGAAUGAAUUUCUCAAACGGA
RNAcentral lists this long non-coding RNA (2237 nucleotides) under Malus domestica (apple). Its description in RNAcentral is "long non-coding RNA (MDOM_LNC001016)". Lineage: Eukaryota; Viridiplantae; Streptophyta; Magnoliopsida; Rosales; Rosaceae. The record is from RNAcentral.